Molecule: ribosomal RNA, 253 nt
Filed under: uncultured bacterium
Lineage: Bacteria
Description: partial 16S ribosomal RNA
Rfam family: Bacterial small subunit ribosomal RNA
Source: RNAcentral
UACGAAGGGGGCUAGCGUUGCUCGGAAUCACUGGGCGUAAAGCGCACGUAGGCGGACUCUUAAGUCGGUGGUGAAAUCCUGGAGCUCAACUCCAGAACUGCCUUCGAUACUGGGAGUCUCGAGUCCGGGAGAGGUGAGUGGAACUGCGAGUGUAGAGGUGAAAUUCGUAGAUAUUCGCAAGAACACCAGUGGCGAAGGCGGCUCACUGGCCCGGUACUGACGCUGAGGCACGAAAGCGUGGGGAGCAAACAGG